UACAGAGGUCCCGAGCGUUGUUCGGAUUCAUUGGGCGUAAAGCGCGCGCAGGCGGCCAUUCAAGUCAGGGGUGAAAGCCCAGAGCUCAACUCUGGAACUGCCCUUGAAACUGUAUGGCUUGAGUAUGAGAGAGGUGAGUGGAAUUCCCGAGUGUAGAGGUGAAAUUCGUAGAUAUUGGGAAGAACACCGGUGGCGAAGGCGGCUUGCCAGAAUGCGCUCGACGGUGAGGGAUGAAAGCUGGGGGAGCAAACCGG
RNAcentral lists this ribosomal RNA (254 nucleotides) under uncultured bacterium. RNAcentral describes it as "partial 16S ribosomal RNA". It matches the Rfam family "Bacterial small subunit ribosomal RNA", at positions 524 to 776 of the family's 1533-position model. The record is from RNAcentral.